UCCGCUGUCCAAUGAGGAGUCGCGCUGCGGCGUCCGGCAGGCGUCGGGUCUGUCAUGGAGCCCGCGGGGCUGCGAGGGGCUGACUGCAAAGGACAUGCUGGCCCUUGAACUGUGCACACCCCUUGAACUUGAACAUGCUGCAACUGUGCCCUCACCCUCUGCUCAGGCAGUGACAUGGAUGCCCUCGGAAACUCAGCUACUCAGCCAAGAGCCUGCUCAGUGCAGGGCAGGGGCCUGUGACA
Long non-coding RNA from Parus major (Great Tit), 242 nucleotides. RefSeq lists it as uncharacterized. The record is from RefSeq and is a predicted model, not a curated record. The transcript has 3 exons. NCBI's taxonomy places the organism in Eukaryota, Metazoa, Chordata, Aves, Passeriformes, Paridae.